RNAcentral lists this ribosomal RNA (253 nucleotides) under uncultured bacterium. Its description in RNAcentral is "partial 16S ribosomal RNA". It matches the Rfam family "Bacterial small subunit ribosomal RNA", at positions 524 to 776 of the family's 1533-position model. The record is from RNAcentral.
UACGUAGGGGGCUAGCGUUGUCCGGAUUUAUUGGGCGUAAAGAGCGUGUAGGCGGCCAGGUAGGUCUGCUGUGAAAACUCGAGGCUCAACCUCGAGACGUCGGCGGAAACCAUCUGGCUAGAGUCCGGAAGAGGCGAGUGGAACUCCUGGUGUAGCGGUGGAAUGCGCAGAUAUCAGGAAGAACACCAACGGCGAAGGCAGCUCGCUGGGACGGAACUGACGCUAAGGCGCGAAAGCGUGGGGAGCGAACAGG